CAUGCAGUCGAGCGGAACGAUGAUAGCUUGCUAUCAGGCGUCGAGCGGCGGACGGGUGAGUAAUACUUAGGAAUCUACCUAGUAGUGGGGGAUAGCACGGGGAAACUCGUAUUAAUACCGCAUACGACCUACGGGAGAAAGGGGGCAGUUUACUGCUCUCGCUAUUAGAUGAGCCUAAGUCGGAUUAGCUAGAUGGUGGGGUAAAGGCCUACCAUGGCGACGAUCUGUAGCUGGUCUGAGAGGAUGAUCAGCCACACCGGGACUGAGACACGGCCCGGACUCCUACGGGAGGCAGCAGUGGGGAAUAUUGGACAAUGGGGGAAACCCUGAUCCAGCCAUGCCGCGUGUGUGAAGAAGGCCUUUUGGUUGUAAAGCACUUUAAGCAGUGAAGAAGACUCCGUGGUUAAUACCCACGGACGAUGACAUUAGCUGCAGAAUAAGCACCGGCUAACUCUGUGCCAGCAGCCGCGGUAAUACAGAGGGUGCAAGCGUUAAUCGGAAUUACUGGGCGUAAAGGGAGCGUAGGUGGCUCGAUAAGUCAGAUGUGAAAUCCCCGGGCUCAACCUGGGAACUGCAUCUGAUACUGUUGAGCUAGAGUAUGUGAGAGGAAGGUAGAAUUCCAGGUGUAGCGGUGAAAUGCGUAGAGAUCUGGAGGAAUACCGAUGGCGAAGGCAGCCUUCUGGCAUAAUACUGACACUGAGGCUCGAAAGCGUGGGUAGCAAACAGGAUUAGAUACCCUGGUAGUCCACGCCGUAAACGAUGUCUACUAGUCGUUGGGUCCCUUGAGGACUUAGUGACGCAGCUAACGCAAUAAGUAGACCGCCUGGGGAGUACGGCCGCAAGGUUAAAACUCAAAUGAAUUGACGGGGGCCCGCACAAGCGGUGGAGCAUGUGGUUUAAUUUCGAUGCAACGCGAAGAACCUUACCUGGUCUUGACAUAUCUAGAAUCCUGCAGAGAUGCGGGAGUGCCUUCGGGAAUUAGAAUACAGGUGCUGCAUGGCUGUCGUCAGCUCGUGUCGUGAGAUGUUGGGUUAAGUCCCGCAACGAGCGCAACCCUUGUCCUUAGUUACCAGCGGGUUAAGCCGGGAACUCUAAGGAUACUGCCAGUGACAAACUGGAGGAAGGCGGGGACGACGUCAAGUCAUCAUGGCCCUUACGACCAGGGCUACACACGUGCUACAAUGGUAGGUACAGAGGGCAGCUACACAGCGAUGUGAUGCGAAUCUCAAAAAGCCUAUCGUAGUCCAGAUUGGAGUCUGCAACUCGACUCCAUGAAGUAGGAAUCGCUAGUAAUCGCGGAUCAGAAUGCCGCGGUGAAUACGUUCCCGGGCCUUGUACACACCGCCCGUCACACCAUGGGAGUUGAUUGCACCAGAAGUGGAUAGCUUAACCUUCGGGGAGGCG
RNAcentral lists this ribosomal RNA (1404 nucleotides) under Psychrobacter glaciei. Its description in RNAcentral is "bacterial SSU rRNA". It matches the Rfam family "Bacterial small subunit ribosomal RNA". The record is from RNAcentral. Lineage: Bacteria; Pseudomonadati; Pseudomonadota; Gammaproteobacteria; Moraxellales; Moraxellaceae.